RNAcentral lists this ribosomal RNA (253 nucleotides) under uncultured prokaryote. RNAcentral's name for it is "partial 16S ribosomal RNA". It matches the Rfam family "Bacterial small subunit ribosomal RNA", at positions 525 to 777 of the family's 1533-position model. The record is from RNAcentral.
ACGAAGGGUGCAAGCGUUACUCGGAAUUACUGGGCGUAAAGCGUGCGUAGGUGGUUCGUUAAGUCUGAUGUGAAAGCCCUGGGCUCAACCUGGGAAUGGCAUUGGAUACUGGCGACCUAGAGUGCGGUAGUGGGUAGCGGAAUUCCCGGUGUAGCAGUGAAAUGCGUAGAUAUCAGUCGGAACACCGGUGGCGAAGGCGGCUUCUUGGGCCUUAACUGACGCUGAGGCGCGAAAGCUGGGGGAGCGAACGGGA